This 366-nucleotide ribosomal RNA is filed under the name uncultured bacterium. RNAcentral describes it as "bacterial SSU rRNA". It matches the Rfam family "Bacterial small subunit ribosomal RNA", at positions 29 to 425 of the family's 1533-position model. The record is from RNAcentral.
AACGAACGCUGGCGGCAGGCCUAACACAUGCAAGUCGAACGCUCCGCAAGGGGAGUGGCGCACGGGUGAGCAACACGUGGGAACCUACCUUCUGGUACGGAACAACCAAGGGAAACUUUGGCUAAGACCGUAUACGACCUCCGGGUGAAAGAUUGAUCGCCGGAAGAGGGGCCCGCGUCCGAUUAGGUAGUUGGUGAGGUAACGGCUCACCAAGCCUUCGAUCGGUAGCUGGUCUGAGAGGAUGACCAGCCACACUGGGACUGAGACACGGCCCAGACUCCUACGGGAGGCAGCAGUGGGGAAUAUUGGACAAUGGGCGCAAGCCUGAUCCAGCCAUGCCGCGUGAGUGAUGAAGGCCUUCGGUUG